GACGAACGCUGGCGGCGUGCCUAACACAUGCAAGUGGAGCGACGAACCAGGGCUUGCCCUGGGGCAAAGCCGCGAACGGGUGAGUAACACGUGGGUAACCUGCCCCGAUGACCGGGACAACCCGAGGAAACUCGGGCUAAUACCGGAUGUGCCCCUCACACAUCAGUGUGUGGAGUAAAAGAAGCUUCGGCCUCCGCAUCGGGAUGGGCCCGCGGCCCAUUAGCUUGUUGGUGAGGUAAAGGCUCACCAAGGCAACGAUGGGUAGCUGGUCUGAGAGGACGAUCAGCCACACUGGGACUGAGACACGGCCCAGACUCCUACGGGAGGCAGCAGUGGGGAAUCUUGCGCAAUGCGCGAAAGCGUGACGCAGCAACGCCGCGUGAGGGAAGAAGGCCUUCGGGUUGUAAACCUCUUUCAGGAGGGACGAAGGUUCAGGCGCGAAUAGCGUCCUGAACUGACGGUACCUCCAGAAGAAGCCCCGGCUAACUACGUGCCAGCAGCCGCCGUAA
RNAcentral lists this ribosomal RNA (509 nucleotides) under uncultured bacterium. Its description in RNAcentral is "partial 16S ribosomal RNA". It matches the Rfam family "Bacterial small subunit ribosomal RNA", at positions 28 to 523 of the family's 1533-position model. The record is from RNAcentral.